AGUGAACGCUGGCGGUAGGCCUAACACAUGCAAGUCGAACGGCAGCACAGUAAGAGCUUGCUCUUACGGGUGGCGAGUGGCGGACGGGUGAGGAAUACAUCGGAAUCUACUUUUUCGUGGGGGAUAACGUAGGGAAACUUACGCUAAUACCGCAUACGACCUACGGGUGAAAGCAGGGGAUCUUCGGACCUUGCGCGAUUGAAUGAGCCGAUGUCGGAUUAGCUAGUUGGCGGGGGAAAGGCCCACCAAGGCGACGAUCCGUAGCUGGUCUGAGAGGAAGAUCAGCCACACUGGAACUGGGACACGGACCAGACUCCUACGGGAGGCAGCAGUGGGGAAUAUUGGACAAUGGGCGCAAGCCUGAUCCAGCCAUACCGCGUGGGUGAAGAAGGCCUUCGGGUUGUAAAGCCCUUUUGUUGGGAAAGAAAAGCAGCAGGUUAAUACCCCGCUGUUCUGACGGUACCCAAAGAAUAAGCACCGGCUAACUUCGUG
This 492-nucleotide ribosomal RNA is filed under the name uncultured bacterium. Its description in RNAcentral is "partial 16S ribosomal RNA". It matches the Rfam family "Bacterial small subunit ribosomal RNA", at positions 29 to 507 of the family's 1533-position model. The record is from RNAcentral.